UUCCACUCUGUAGGUUCCAGAGUUUGAUCUCAGGUCACCAGGCACGGGGGCGAAGUGCCCUUUACUGGCCAAGUCAUCUCGGCACCAUUCAGCAAGUGUAAUUUUGACUGCACAUAUCACGAGAGAAGCAGUUUCUGUUUAUUCAUCUCACCUAUGAACCCUUCAUGCCCCUGGUUCCCGACAGGCCCUUGUGUGCUCACGGUCUCUGCAGGAGCAAGGCGCUUCGCAGUCAUUGCUAAUAUGACCGAAGAGAUGUCCUGGCUAAAUGUGAUGUGUGGAGAUAGUCCACUGGCUUCAGAAGGAUCUGCUGAAGAUGAAAUGGGUUGCACUUGUCUGAGACAGCAAACUCUGCUGAUAGUGCUGGCCAUCAAGUUUUGUGCAGGCAGCCGCGGAGGCUGCUGUGAGUUCGUGAAUGCUGUCACUCGGUCAUGACCAGAAGACACGGUUUCACCCCUGUUUUCCCAAACUGCUGGCUCUGACAGUCUUUCUAUUCCCUCCUCUUGUGGCUGUUCCUGGGCCUUUGGAGGAGGAGUGUUGUAAACGCACGCCACAGACACUGAACUUGCUGCACGUUGAUCAGUUGCGAGUUUCUGCAUUAGCCGCCACCCACACAAAGGAACUUCUGUGGUGAGGCCUGAGAUCUAUAGUAAUCCCUGAUAGAGGACAGUUGGUACUAUGUCCAUUUAGCAGAAUCAUGGUGGCAUCUUCACCCAUGGGGGUCAGUGAGCUUCCCAACCAUGCAUUCUUGGCUAGAUUUACAGCAUCAGGCAGGUGUUUCUACCUAUGGAACAGACCUCGGAUCCAAUUAAAAAGGAAGUUGGCUACCCCCA
Molecule: long non-coding RNA, 830 nt
Organism: Mesocricetus auratus (golden hamster)
Lineage: Eukaryota; Metazoa; Chordata; Mammalia; Rodentia; Cricetidae
Exons: 2
Source: RefSeq, a predicted model, not a curated record